UUGAAAUAUAAUGAUGCAUCAUCUCCAAUUUUACUUAGAAUGGUCAAUCUCAUCUUGACUUGCACUCUGACUUCGCAAGUACUUGAUCGUAUCCAGAAAUCUUUCAUCAUCGAAUUAAAAAUUUGGAUAGUCUGGCUGCUAAGCAUAGUGAGUUGCUUGCAAGUCAUUGAGGCAGCCUUAAGUCUGAGAGACACUUAUACCCAUAUCCCAUC
This 212-nucleotide long non-coding RNA is filed under the name Elaeis guineensis (African oil palm). RNAcentral describes it as "long non-coding RNA (EGUI_LNC069899)". The record is from RNAcentral. Lineage: Eukaryota; Viridiplantae; Streptophyta; Magnoliopsida; Arecales; Arecaceae.